CCUACGGGGGACAGCAGUGGGGGAUAUUGCACAAUGGGGGAAACUCUGAUGCAGCGACGCCGCGUGAGUGAAGAAGUAUUUCGGUAUGUAAAGCUCUAUCAGCAGGGAAGUAAAUGACAGUACCUGACCAAGAAGCCCUGGCUAACUACGUGCCAGCAGCGGCGGUAAUACGGAGGGGGCAAGCGUUAUCCGGAUUUACUGGGUGUUAAGGGAGCGUAGUCGGUUAUGUAAGUCAGGAGUGAAAGCCCGGGGCCCAACCCCGGGACUGCAUUGGAAACUGUGUAACUGGAGUACAGGAGGGGCAGGCGGAAUGCCUGGUGUAGCGGUGAAAUGCGUAGAUAUCAGGAGGAACACCGACGGCGAAGGCAGCCUGCUGGACUGAAACUGACGUUGAGGCUCGAAAGCGUGGGGAGCAAACAGGAUUAGAUACCCCAGUAGUC
Molecule: ribosomal RNA, 440 nt
Filed under: uncultured bacterium
Lineage: Bacteria
Description: partial 16S ribosomal RNA
Rfam family: Bacterial small subunit ribosomal RNA
Source: RNAcentral